AUAAUUAUUUCCAUGGUUAAGAAAAAUAAUUUAACAUCUGACCAAGUCAAGAAUAGUUUUGAGCAGUUUGCCGGACAAUUUGAUCUAACGGACACUGGCCUAUUCUGCCAGAUUUGGGAUACCUGCUCUUUUUCCAGAGUUGGUCAGUUUGUGAGUUAAGGGUAAAAUACCCCUCUCGCCCUAUGACAGCUGGGAUAGGCUCCAGCACCCCCCGCAACCCUGAAAAGGAUAAGCAGAAGUGAAUGGAUGGAACAAACAACAAAAAACUAAUUACCUGAGCUGCAAUAAAAUGGCAAUGCAGCUCGGACGAGCUACGCUAUCCCAAACCAACCGGAGGAGAAGACUGCUGGCGGGUGAGUGUUUCUAUUGUGGGAAAAGAGGACACUAUGUUGAUACUUGCCCG
Oreochromis aureus is the source of this 403-nucleotide long non-coding RNA. The record is from Ensembl. NCBI's taxonomy places the organism in Eukaryota, Metazoa, Chordata, Actinopteri, Cichliformes, Cichlidae.